RNAcentral lists this ribosomal RNA (497 nucleotides) under uncultured bacterium. Its description in RNAcentral is "partial 16S ribosomal RNA". It matches the Rfam family "Bacterial small subunit ribosomal RNA", at positions 28 to 507 of the family's 1533-position model. The record is from RNAcentral.
GAUGAACGCUGGCGGCGUGCCUAAUACAUGCAAGUCGAGCGAACAGACGAGGAGCUUGCUCCUCUGACGUUAGCGGCGGACGGGUGAGUAACACGUGUAUAACCUACCUAUAAGACUAGGAUAACUUCGGGAAACCUGAGCUAAUACCGGAUAAUAUAUUGAACCGCAUGGUUCAUUAGUGAAAGACGGUUUUGCUGUCACUUAUAGAUGGAUCCGCGCCGCAUUAGCUAGUUGGUAAGGUAACGGCUUACCAAGGCAACGAUGCGUAGCCGACCUGAGAGGGUGAUCGGCCACACUGGAACUGAGACACGGUCCAGACUCCUACGGGAGGCAGCAGUAGGGAAUCUUCCGCAAUGGGCGAAAGCCUGACGGAGCAACGCCGCGUGAGUGAUGAAGGUCUUCGGAUCGUAAAACUCUGUUAGUAGGGAAGAACAAAUGUGUAAUUAACUAUGCACGUCUUGACGGUACCUAAUCAGAAAGCCACGGCUAACUACGUG